CCCUUAGAUGUUCUGGGCCGCACGCGCGCUACACUGAUGCAUUCAACGAGUCUACAACCUGGUCUGAUAGGGCUGGGUAAUCUUUUGAAUGUGCAUCGUGAUUGGGAUAGAUGAUUGCAAUCGUGCAUCUUGAACGAGGAAUGCCUUGUAAGCGUGAGUCAUCAACUCGCGCUGAAUACGUCCCUGCCCUUUGUACACACCGCCCGUCGCUCCUACCGAUUGGAUGGUCCGGUGAACUGGUCGGACUGAUAAUUGUCACUGCGGGUGCAGUAGCAUUACGGAAAGUCCGGUGAACCUUAUCAUCUAGAGGAAGGAGAAGUCGUAACA
This 327-nucleotide ribosomal RNA is filed under the name uncultured eukaryote. RNAcentral's name for it is "partial 18S ribosomal RNA". It matches the Rfam family "Eukaryotic small subunit ribosomal RNA", at positions 1470 to 1796 of the family's 1831-position model. The record is from RNAcentral.